UUGAAAGCUUUGAAAAGAAGAGUACAUGUCGCCAACAUUUCACAGAGAGCCUGGGAAAGCUGUAAACAGGUAAUGAAGGUAAGAUGGAAGAUGGUCUUUGAGCAGAAUAAGUGAGCAAUAGCAAGCUUAUUACGGGGGUGCCCGUUAUAGCACGACAGUAUGCACCGAUAAGGUAAGUACUGGAUAAGGUUAUAGUUGUGAAACUGUAACAAAUUAAGGUGGUAACACGAAAUUGCGACAGCUUUUCGUCCUUUUG
Molecule: non-coding RNA, 256 nt
Filed under: Enterococcus dispar
Lineage: Bacteria; Bacillati; Bacillota; Bacilli; Lactobacillales; Enterococcaceae
Description: T-box sequence
Rfam family: T-box leader
About the family: Uncharged tRNA acts as the effector for transcription antitermination of genes in the T-box leader family. T-boxes are found upstream of many aminoacyl-tRNA synthetase genes and some amino acid biosynthetic genes usually in Gram-positive bacteria. The anticodon of a specific tRNA base pairs to a specifier sequence within the T-box motif, and the NCCA acceptor tail of the tRNA base pairs to a conserved bulge in the T-box antiterminator hairpin.
Source: RNAcentral